GUCUUAUUGUAAUUUAUAAUAAGUCUGACCUGCCCGGUGAUUAAUUUAACGGCCGCAGUAUUUUGACUGUGCAAAGGUAGCAUAAUCAUUAGUCUUUUAAUAGAAGGCUGGAAUGAAUGGUUUGACGAAAUAUUAACUGUCUCAUUUUUAUGAAUUGAAUUUAACUUUUAAGUUAAAAGGCUUAAAUUUUUUUGGAAGACGAGAAGACCCUAUAGAGCUUUAUAGAAUUUGUUUUUAUAAAUUUUAGGAAAAAAUUUGGUAUAAUAAUAAUUUUUAUUUUGUUGGGGUGAUAGUAAAUAAAUAUAUAACUUUUAUUAUGAUUUUAACAUUUAUUUUUGAUUUUUAGAUCCUUUAUUUAUGAUUAUUAGACUGAGUUACCUUAGGGAUAACAGCGUAAUCUUUCUUUUGAGUUCUUAUUUGCAGAAAGGGUUGCGACCUCGAUGUUGGAUUAAGAUUACAUUUAGGUGUAGUGGCUUAUUUUGUAGGUCUGUUCGACCUUUAAAUUCUUACAUGAUCUGAGUUCAAACCGG
RNAcentral lists this ribosomal RNA (530 nucleotides) under Disparocypha biedermanni. RNAcentral's name for it is "partial 16S ribosomal RNA". It matches the Rfam family "Bacterial large subunit ribosomal RNA", at positions 1830 to 2619 of the family's 2925-position model. Lineage: Eukaryota; Metazoa; Arthropoda; Insecta; Odonata; Chlorocyphidae. The record is from RNAcentral.